AUUGAACGCUGGCGGCAUGCCUUACACAUGCAAGUCGAACGGCAUCGCGGGAAAGCUUGCUUUCCUGGCGGCGAGUGGCGCACGGGUGAGUAACACAUCGGAACUUACCGGCUAGUGGGGGAUAACCCGUCGAAAGACGGGCUAAUACCGCAUACGCUCUUCGGAGGAAAGCAGGGGACCUUUGGGCCUUUCGCUAGUCGAGCGGCCGAUGUCCGAUUAGCUAGUUGGUGGGGUAAAGGCCUACCAAGGCGACGAUCGGUAGCGGGUCUGAGAGGACGAUCCGCCACACUGGGACUGAGACACGGCCCAGACUCCUACGGGAGGCAGCAGUGGGGAAUCUUGGACAAUGGGGGCAACCCUGAUCCAGCAAUGCCGCGUGGGUGAAGAAGGCCUUCGGGUUGUAAAGCCCUUUCGGCAGGGAAGAAAUCGGCGGGGCGAAUAACCCUGCUGGAUGACGGUACCUGCAGAAGAAGCACCGGCUAACUACGUG
This 490-nucleotide ribosomal RNA is filed under the name uncultured bacterium. RNAcentral's name for it is "partial 16S ribosomal RNA". It matches the Rfam family "Bacterial small subunit ribosomal RNA", at positions 29 to 507 of the family's 1533-position model. The record is from RNAcentral.